Long non-coding RNA from Tachysurus fulvidraco (yellow catfish), 1348 nucleotides. RefSeq lists it as uncharacterized. The record is from RefSeq and is a predicted model, not a curated record. The transcript has 3 exons. NCBI's taxonomy places the organism in Eukaryota, Metazoa, Chordata, Actinopteri, Siluriformes, Bagridae.
CAAGGAAAACCUGCACCCACAAACAACCUGGACACCUCUGACCAACACCCUCAGAACAAAGGGUUCUAAUCUAUACAAUUCCUUUUUGCUGGUUUGCUGCCAUCAAGUAAAUCAUUUUAAAGGAAAUUGAGCACUAGCACUAUUUUUCCCCCUCUGUGGUCAUCCUCAUUAAACCUCUUCUUGACUGGGGUGAGAGAGGUGAGCCUCUGCCAAGCUUGGAUGUUCAAAGCAAUUCUCCACACUAAAAAGGACCAUGCCCUCUGCCUCCACAGUCAGUGCCCUAUCAGAGGACUUCAGUGCCAUCCACCCACACCACCCACAGACUGCCAAAUGUAAAGCCCUGCAUAAAUUUGGACAUUGUGUCCUCUUUUGCCAAGCACUGGCAGUAUCUGACACCAACAGGAGUGCAUCAUUGGCAAUGAUUUAUAGCCCCGGUGGAAUGGGUCUGGCGUGUUGAUGAGGCAGGCUUUAUUUACUCAGGUAGCCAUUAUGAUGACUUCAGUCCCUUUGUGAUAAAUGGAUUCAGAGAAGAGGAGUUCUGUAUGGAAAAGAAAAAUCAUCAUAAAUUGUCAUAUUUGAUCAGAAUGCCAUGUUCUGUGGGCAGCAACUACUGAGCCCUCUUCUGGAGGAAAUAAUGAACAAACAAAACAAUAAAAUAAACAAUCAAAUGGACUGUGUUUAUUUAGGAAAGAACGAGGAAGAGCAAAAGACAUGUGAUUGAAAAAGACUACAAAAAACACUUGCUUGGGAUUUUCCAUUAAGAGAUUUAAUAUGUUUUACAUUUCUUUAUUAUAUUGGUUAUAACUCACAUGAUGCUCCAUUUUAUAUUUCAAAUAAGAAAGAAAGGGGUCUACACAGACAGGUGUAAGCUCUUAUAAUCAGGCAUCAGUGUUAUAAGUCUGUUAUAAGUUUAAUUCUGCAGAACUUGGCUUGAGUUCUGUAUAAAUUAUUGCCCCACAGAUUUCAGCUACUUAGCUAAGCUUGACUCUGACUAAAGUUGAGCUUUAACAUCCCGGAUUUGGCUGUCACACUGUAUUGCAAAUUACAUAUAAAUCCUUUACUGGUUGUGAUAUCUCUUCUAUGAAGCUGUGUAGAAUAUUCAUAGCCCCUGAUUUUCAUGUCCUCAUUCAAUGCUUGCACCUGAUCCUUGUAAUUGGUCUUGUGUAUUUUCUGCAUUUGUGUAUUGUCUGUAUUUUUGAUAUGUGCUAUAUAACAACAUACAGUAUGGAUCUCAUCCAAGUUCCUGGGUCGCCUUGUUUGGCUCAAUUCUUGACCUAGUUUUAAAUCCCAAAUGUGUUAUAUGUUUCAGACCAUAACAUUCUAGCUGUUUUUAUUGUUUUCUAUUAAA